RNAcentral lists this ribosomal RNA (505 nucleotides) under uncultured bacterium. RNAcentral describes it as "partial 16S ribosomal RNA". It matches the Rfam family "Bacterial small subunit ribosomal RNA", at positions 28 to 507 of the family's 1533-position model. The record is from RNAcentral.
GACGAACGCUGGCGGCGUGCCUAAUACAUGCAAGUAGAACGCACAGUUUAUACCUUUGCUUGCUACACCAUAGACUGUGAGUUGCGAACGGGUGAGUAACGCGUAGGUAACCUGCCUGGUAGCUGGGGAUAACUAGUGGAAACGAUAGCUAAUACCGCCUAAUAUUUAUUAUUGCUUGAUAAUUAAUUGCAAGGUGCAAUUGCACCGCUACCAAAUGGACCUGCGUUGUAUUAGUUAGUAGGUGAGGUAACGGCUCACCUAGGCCGCGAGACGUAGCCGACCUGAGAGGGUGGUCGGCCACCCUGGGAGUGAGACACGGCCCAGACUCCUACGGGAGGCAGCAGUAGGGAAGCUUCGGCAAUGGACGAAAGUCUGACCGAGAAACGCCGCGGGAGUGAAGAAGGUCGUCGGAUCGUAAAGCUCUGUUGUAAGGGAAGAACGGGUGUGAGAGUGGAAAGUUCACACUGUGACGGUAUCUGACCAGAAAGGGACGGCUAACUACGUG